CUCUGACCUCAAAUCAGGUAGGACUACCCGC
Molecule: ribosomal RNA, 31 nt
Filed under: Trichaptum abietinum
Lineage: Eukaryota; Fungi; Basidiomycota; Agaricomycetes; Hymenochaetales; Trichaptaceae
Description: Hirschioporus abietinus partial 28S ribosomal RNA
Source: RNAcentral